GGUCCGCUCAGCCCGGUUGGCAAUCGGGUGGCGAGUGCAAGUGCACAAGCGGGCUUGACUGCGAGGACGACGGUCCGAGCAGGGACGAAAGUCGGGACUAGUGAUCCGGUGCCGGUGUACGGACGCGGCAUCGCUCAACGGAUAAAAGGUACCCCGGGGAUAACAGGCUGAUCAUUCCCAAGAGUCCAUAUCGACGGGAUGGUUUGGCACCUCGAUGUCGGCUCGUCGCAUCCUGGGGCUGGAGCAGGUCCCAAGGGUUCGGCUGUUCGCCGAUUAAAGCGGCACGCGAGCUGGGUUCAGAACGUCGUGAGACAGUUUGGUCUCUAUCCUCUGCGCUCGUUGGAAUGCUGAGGAGGCCUGCCCAUAGUACGAGAGGACCUGGGUGGACGAACCUCUGGUAUGCCGGUUGUCACGCCAGUGGCACGGCCGGUUGGCUACGUUCGGAAGGGAUAACCGCUGAAAGCAUCUAAGCGGGAAGCCUGCUCCAAGAUAAGCAUUCCGUGGAACCUUCGAGUUCCUGUAGUCCCCAUGCAGAACACGUGGUCGAUAGGCCGGACGUGGAAGCCCCGCGAGGGGUGGAGCCGACCGGUACUAACGGACGAAAGGCA
RNAcentral lists this ribosomal RNA (608 nucleotides) under Parabacteroides merdae. Its description in RNAcentral is "partial 23S ribosomal RNA". It matches the Rfam family "Bacterial large subunit ribosomal RNA", at positions 2315 to 2925 of the family's 2925-position model. The record is from RNAcentral. Lineage: Bacteria; Pseudomonadati; Bacteroidota; Bacteroidia; Bacteroidales; Tannerellaceae.